RNAcentral lists this ribosomal RNA (158 nucleotides) under Aureovirgo volantis. Its description in RNAcentral is "5.8S ribosomal RNA". It matches the Rfam family "5.8S ribosomal RNA". Rfam says of the family: 5.8S ribosomal RNA (5.8S rRNA) is a component of the large subunit of the eukaryotic ribosome. It is transcribed by RNA polymerase I as part of the 45S precursor that also contains 18S and 28S rRNA. The record is from RNAcentral. Lineage: Eukaryota; Fungi; Ascomycota; Sordariomycetes; Ophiostomatales; Ophiostomataceae.
AAACUUUCAACAACGGAUCUCUUGGCUCUGGCAUCGAUGAAGAACGCAGCGAAAUGCGAUACGUAAUGUGAAUUGCAGAACUCAGUGAAUCAUCGAAUCUUUGAACGCACAUUGCGCCCGCCAGCAUUCUGGCGGGCAUGCCUGUCCGAGCGUCAUUU